CAGUCGCCGCGGUAAUACGAAGGGUGCAAGCGUUAAUCGGAAUUACUGGGCGUAAAGCGUGCGUAGGCGGUUUGUUAAGUCUGCUGUGAAAUCCCCGGGCUCAACCUGGGAAUGGCAGUGGAUACUGGCAAGCUAGAGUGUGUCAGAGGAUAGUGGAAUUUCCGGUGUAGCAGUGAAAUGCGUAGAGAUCGGAAGGAACAUCUGUGGCGAAGGCGACUAUCUGGGCCAACACUGACACUGAGGCACGAAAGCGUGGGGAGCAAACAGGAUUAGAUACCCCCGUAGUCCCUGUCUCUUAUAC
Molecule: ribosomal RNA, 301 nt
Filed under: uncultured bacterium
Lineage: Bacteria
Description: partial 16S ribosomal RNA
Rfam family: Bacterial small subunit ribosomal RNA
Source: RNAcentral